This 465-nucleotide ribosomal RNA is filed under the name Vreelandella stevensii. RNAcentral's name for it is "partial 16S ribosomal RNA". It matches the Rfam family "Bacterial small subunit ribosomal RNA", at positions 338 to 795 of the family's 1533-position model. The record is from RNAcentral. Lineage: Bacteria; Pseudomonadati; Pseudomonadota; Gammaproteobacteria; Oceanospirillales; Halomonadaceae.
CCUACGGGUGGCAGCAGUGGGGAAUAUUGGACAAUGGGGGGAACCCUGAUCCAGCCAUGCCGCGUGUGUGAAGAAGGCCCUCGGGUUGUAAAGCACUUUCAGUGAGGAAGAAAGCCUGGUGGUUAAUACCGAUCAGGAAAGACAUCACUCACAGAAGAAGCACCGGCUAACUCCGUGCCAGCAGCCGCGGUAAUACGGAGGGUGCGAGCGUUAAUCGGAAUUACUGGGCGUAAAGCGCGCGUAGGUGGCUUGAUAAGCCGGUUGUGAAAGCCCCGGGCUCAACCUGGGAACGGCAUCCGGAACUGUCAAGCUAGAGUGCAGGAGAGGAAGGUAGAAUUCCCGGUGUAGCGGUGAAAUGCGUAGAGAUCGGGAGGAAUACCAGUGGCGAAGGCGGCCUUCUGGACUGACACUGACACUGAGGUGCGAAAGCGUGGGUAGCAAACAGGAUUAGAUACCCGUGUAGUC